AUGAAACCAUUGCUUCUUCCUCCUGUCAACUACUUUGCCCAAAGGCCUGCUGAUGGUACAAAAGGUGGCAUUUUGCUGCUAUGGGAUGACUCUGUGGUCACGGUGACAAAUGUGCAAAUUGGUGUCUACUUCCUCUCGGCGACAGUGGCCAUCAACAACUAUGGCGACGACAAAACUUUUAAGCUAACCACAGUGUAUGGACCAACCCGUAGCAUUAACAAGGAUGCUUUCUAUCUUGAGCUGACUUCAGAAAAGCCUCCGCCUGGAACCAAAUGGCUAGUAAAUGGUGAUUUCAAUCAAAUCUAUCGUGCCAGGGACAAAAACCGAGCCAACGUCGUCCGUAGCCGUCUCGUGCGGUUCCGCAACGCCCUCAACACAUGUGAGCUCAAGGAGAUACACAUGCAAAACAGAAAAUUUACUUGGAGCAAUGAACAAAGUAACCCGACGAUGAGCAAGCUAGACAGCUUCUUUUGCAAUGAAGACUGGGACAUAGAGUUUGCCACGCACAUUCUGCAUGCACUCUCCUCAUCACUUUCUGACCAUUGCCCACUUCUACUUGCUAAUGAUGUCGGACCAAAGAAGCCUAAAUCCUUCCGUUUUGAAAAUUACUGGACAAAGAUGCCAGGGUUCCAAUGUGUCGUCUCCGAGGCAUGGACUGAAAUUUCUUGUCACGUCGAACCAUAUCAGCGGCUAUUUCACAAGCUAAAGAGAACAGGCCAAAAACGGCGCUCCUGGAGCAAGACCCUUUUCUCGAACUCCAAGGUUCAACUCCACAUGGCUCUUGAGGUUAUCCUUCGCCUUGACCUCGCGCAAGAACAAAGAGAGCUAAAUGAUGCUGCUGUUUUCAUUGCCCCACUCAAGGAGGACGUCAAUUUCUUUGCUGCUACCCUUGAGAGCUUUGGAGAUAUUUCGGGCUUGAUGACAAAUUGCUCCAAAAGCUUGGUCGCCCCAAUUAGAUGCGACAAUGUGGACCUUCCAGAUAUUCUCCAAUCUUUUCCGGCUCAACGAUCCACCUUCCCGCCUCUAGAGGACAAGAUCGCGGCCCAGCUCACUCCUUGGAUGGGAAAGCAUGUUGCAGCCCCUGGAAGGAUGGUUCUUGUUAAGUCGGUCAUCACGGCCAUCGCCAUUUACUAUAUGACGGCUCUAAAUCUUCCAGUUGAAGUUGUGAAAAAGAUCGAUGCCCUCCGGCGUGCUUAUCUCUGGGCUGGUUGUGACAAGGUCACGGGUGGGAAAUGUAAGGUCAACUGGGAUCAAGUCUGCAAGUCAAAGCUGCAUGGGGGCCUUGGGAUCCUAAAUCUUCAGAAGUUUGCGGCUGCUCUUCGUCUCUGUUGGUUGUGGUUUGACUGGCAGGACCCGAUCAGGCCUUGGUCGGGCUUGGGCCUCCCUUGCGACAAGAAGGAUCAAAACAUCUUUGCGUCGGCCUCCAAGGUUCAGGUGGGGGACGGUCUUCGUGCCUCCUUCUGGGAGUCAGCUUGGCUAGAUGGCAUCAGACCCAAAGAUAUUGCUCCCAAAAUUUACGACAUCUCCAAAAAGAAGAACUCUUCCGUUCAUAAGGCUUUGCUCAAUGGCUUCUGGAUCUCCCAGGUGAAUGUUGCCUCGGGCAUCACCACUGAGCACAUUGUCCAGUUUGUUGCGCUUUGGGACAGACUCACCCACAUUCAGUUAAACCCAGACAUGCCAGACUCCAUCACUUGGAAACUAACUACUAAUGGCCACUAUUCCGCAGCCUCGGCAUACAGGGCUCAGUUUCUUGGCUUGCUUUUCUCCUGGCUCAUCCUCCACAACCACAUUCUCACAGCAAAUUUGCUCGCCCACAAGGGAUGGCCGUCGCACGCCCCUUGGCUUCGUGUCCGUUAUGCCAACAUAGCCCCGAAACUGCCACUCACCUCUUCAAGGAUGCCCCCUUCACUGCUGCUGCUUGAGUCCUCAUUGAGCUUUCUUCUAGGGAUCAGCCGGCCCCGCUGCGCUCACGCAUCACACGCGUGCCAACUCCUGUGCAUAUACGAUGGUUCUUGCUGGCAGCCUCCCCAACACUAG
RNAcentral lists this ribosomal RNA (2037 nucleotides) under Triticum aestivum (bread wheat). RNAcentral's name for it is "partial small subunit ribosomal RNA". The record is from RNAcentral. Lineage: Eukaryota; Viridiplantae; Streptophyta; Magnoliopsida; Poales; Poaceae.